Molecule: ribosomal RNA, 500 nt
Filed under: uncultured Glomus
Lineage: Eukaryota; Fungi; Glomeromycota; Glomeromycetes; Glomerales; Glomeraceae
Description: SSU rRNA
Rfam family: Eukaryotic small subunit ribosomal RNA
Source: RNAcentral
AGCAGCCGCGGUAAUUCCAGCUCCAAUAGCGUAUAUUAAAGUUGUUGCAGUUAAAAAGCUCGUAGUUGAAUUUCGGGAUCAAGUCGUCGGUCGUGCUCAGGUACGUACUGGCGUCAUUGAUUUCUCCCUUCUGACGAACCAUGAUGUCAUUAAUUUGGUGUUAUGGGAAAUCAGGACUGUUACUUUGAAAAAAUUAGAGUGUUUAAAGCAGGCUCACGCUUGAAUACAUUAGCAUGGAAUAAUGAAAAUAGGACGUUCGAUCCUAUUUUUGUUGGUUUUAGGAUCAACGUAAUGAUUAAUAGGGAUAGUUGGGGGCAUUAGUAUUCAAUUGUCAGAGGUGAAAUUCUUGGAUUUAUUGAAGACUAACUACUGCGAAAAGCAUUUGCCAAGGAUGUUUUCAUUAAUCAAGAACGAAAGUUAGGGAUCGAAGACGAUCAGAUACCGUCGUAGUCUUAACCAUAAACUAUGCCGACUAGGGAUCGGAUGAUGUUAAAUUUUUU